GUGGGGAAUAUUGCGCAAUGGGCGGAAGCCUGACGCAGCGACGCCGCGUGGGGGAUGACGGCCUUCGGGUUGUAAACCUCUUUCAGUAGGGACGAAGCGGAAGUGACGGUACCUACAGAAGAAGCACCGGCCAACUACGUGCCAGCAGCCGCGGUAAUACGUAGGGUGCAAGCGUUGUCCGGAAUUAUUGGGCGUAAAGAGCUCGUAGGCGGUUCGUCACGUCGGCUGUGAAAUCCCGAGGCUCAACCUCGGGUCUGCAGUCGAUACGGGCGGACUUGAGUACUGCAGGGGAGACUGGAAUUCCUGGUGUAGCGGUGAAAUGCGCAGAUAUCAGGAGGAACACCGGUGGCGAAGGCGGGUCUCUGGGCAGUAACUGACGCUGAGGAGCGAAAGCGUGGGGAGCGAACAGG
RNAcentral lists this ribosomal RNA (410 nucleotides) under uncultured Blastococcus sp. Its description in RNAcentral is "bacterial SSU rRNA". It matches the Rfam family "Bacterial small subunit ribosomal RNA", at positions 354 to 776 of the family's 1533-position model. The record is from RNAcentral. Lineage: Bacteria; Bacillati; Actinomycetota; Actinomycetes; Geodermatophilales; Geodermatophilaceae.